This 497-nucleotide ribosomal RNA is filed under the name uncultured bacterium. RNAcentral's name for it is "partial 16S ribosomal RNA". It matches the Rfam family "Bacterial small subunit ribosomal RNA", at positions 28 to 507 of the family's 1533-position model. The record is from RNAcentral.
GAUGAACGCUGGCGGCGUGCCUAAUACAUGCAAGUAGAACGCUGAAGGAAGGAGCUUGCUCUUUCCGGAUGAGUUGCGAACGGGUGAGUAACGCGUAGGUAACCUGCCUGGUAGCGGGGGAUAACUAUUGGAAACGAUAGCUAAUACCGCAUAACAGCAGAUGUUGCAUGAUAUCUACGUAAAAGGUGCAAUUGCACCACUACCAGAUGGACCUGCGUUGUAUUAGCUAGUUGGUGAGGUAACGGCUCACCAAGGCGACGAUACAUAGCCGAACUGGAGAGGGGAACGGGCAAAACGGGAACUGGACAAGGCCCCAGACUCCACCGGAGGGAGCAGGAGGGGAACUUUGGGCAUGGACGGAAGUCUUAACGAGCAACGCCGGCGGAGGGGAUAAGGGUCUCCGAUUGGAAAGACUUGUUUAUAGGGAAGAAAGAGUGGGGGAGUGGAAAGUUCACACUGUGACGGUAUCUUAUCAGAAAGCGACGGCUAACUACGUG